GUGCUCCCUUAUGCAGCAUAUACACUAAAAUCAGAACAAUUAGUAUGGACCCUACAUAAGGAUGACAUGCAAAUUUGUGAAGUGUUCCAUAUUUUU
Molecule: small nuclear RNA, 96 nt
Filed under: Dasypus novemcinctus (nine-banded armadillo)
Lineage: Eukaryota; Metazoa; Chordata; Mammalia; Cingulata; Dasypodidae
Source: RNAcentral